Molecule: long non-coding RNA, 612 nt
Filed under: Lotus japonicus
Lineage: Eukaryota; Viridiplantae; Streptophyta; Magnoliopsida; Fabales; Fabaceae
Source: RNAcentral
AAACACAAAUCUGGCCAAAGAGGAAAAAGCAGGGAAGAAGAUGGGGAGCACAGAUUAGCGAACAAGGAUGACUAGCCACACAGGGUUAGGGUUGCCAAUGGAGAGCCUGAUUCAAGAAGAUGAUGGCUCCGCCGCUAGGAAGAAGAUGAAAAGCAAGGAGGCCCCGGCGACGGCGAAGGCGUCACUGAACCCCGCCGGACUUCGCACCACAGCAAGACAAUUCGGCCGCCCUCGCCGACAAAACUCGCACACCCGCAACGGCCAAAACCCACCACCAACGACGGCGGGCGCCGCACCCUAACAACGGUGGAACGCAAGCAAGGAUCCGCAAAGCAGAUCCAGAAGAGUUUCAGCACAGAUCCACCAGAGACGUGUAUGACAUCUCCUCCGAAUCUCGAACCUAAGAAACGGCUCCAAGCGGAGGACGAAACACCGGAAGCGGCGAGGAGGGCAAGGGGGACGUAGCCGUCGGGUAAGGGAGAGGGGAAGAAACCCAAGGAAAGGGCACUGGUGCAGCAACCCCAGAAGCAGAUCUGGUUUAUUAGCAAAGGAAGAAAGAUUAAAGGACAAAAAACAGAGGGAGAAGGAGGGGGUUGCCGCCGCGCCAGGAGG